CGUUCCCGGGUCUUGUACACACCGCCCGUCACACCACGAGAGUUUACAACACCCGAAGUCGGUGGGGUAACCGCAAGGAGCCAGCCGCCGAAGGUGGGGUAGAUGAUUGGGGUG
This 114-nucleotide ribosomal RNA is filed under the name uncultured bacterium. RNAcentral describes it as "partial 16S ribosomal RNA". It matches the Rfam family "Bacterial small subunit ribosomal RNA", at positions 1369 to 1482 of the family's 1533-position model. The record is from RNAcentral.